AGUUGGAGGUCACGGUGAUGCUUCCACGCAGGCGACGACAAAUCCCGAGAGGAAGCCCUUUGAGAUCCCCUCUUUUCUCUACAUCCGCUCUUCCUCCUUUCUUUGCUGUGUCUUUCGAGCGAUUCGAGGAUUCCGUUGCCUGAAAACGAACUCGGUCGGGCGAAGGCAAUGGAUCGGUCGCGUUUGCUGGCGGUAUUGGUUUUGGUCUGCGUGAUGUCGGCUUGUCGAGGGAGAGAACUUAGGAUUGGUAGCGAGGACAAUAGUCAUGUGUAUAACCAUACUCUUGCCAAGAUACUUGUUGAAUAUGCGUCUGCUGUGUCUAUGUCAGAUCUAACUGCAUUAUUUAGCUGGACUUGCUCUAGAUGUACCGAUUUGACAGAGGGUUUUGAGGUCGUAGAGCUGAUUGUUGAUGUUAAGAACUGUUUACAGUCAUUUGUUGGUGUUGCUCAUGAUCUUAAUGCUAUUGUAGUCGCAUUCAGAGGAACUCAAGAGAACAGUCUUCGUAAUUGGAUUCAAGACCUCUUCUGGAAGCAGCUAGAUCUGAACUACCCAGACAUGCCUGGUGCCAUGGUGCACCAUGGUUUUUAUUCUGCUUAUCAUAAUACAACACUACGCCCUGGGAUCAUUAGUGCUGUUCAAAAGGCUAGGGAGUUAUAUGGAGACAUUCCCGUCAUGGUUACAGGGCAUUCAAUGGGAGGGGCUAUGGCUUCCUUUUGUGCACUUGAUCUUACUGUCAAUCACAGAAUACAGAAUGUUCAACUUAUGACAUUUGGACAACCUAGGGUUGGCAAUGCUGUUUUUGCUUCAUAUUUCAGCAAUCAUUUGCCACAUGCAGUUCGAGUUACCAAUGAGCAUGAUAUUGUGCCACAUCUACCACCAUAUUACUCUUACUUUCCCAAGAAGACAUACCAUCACUUUCCAACAGAGGUAUGGAUCCAUAACUUUGGAUUAGAUAGUCUUGUGUAUAUUACUGAGAAGAUAUGUGAUGGUUCUGGUGAAGACCCUUCGUGUAGCAGGUCUGUAAGUGGGAACAGUGUAGCAGAUCAUCUGGAGUACUUCGGGAUUGAUAUGCAGGCAGAUACUUGGGGCUCCUGUGGAAUCGUGUUCAACGAAAAUAUGGUGCAGUAUCAAGUAGAUCUUGCAGGAAACAUUGUCUUAUCGAAGUGGCCAACUGUUUCAUCAACUCCACAACAAAUUAUAGAAGCAGAUAAAGGUCGGAGUGCUUCUUAGCAUCCCCAGCCACCACCACCAAAAUAAGGAAAACAGAAGGAAGAAUGGGGAACUACAUGUACAUAGUUCUUAUGGUUUACAAGAUUAGCCAGCAUUGCCAAAGCUGUAUCUAUACAUUCACGAGGAAUAAAUCCUAGCAUCAUUAAUAUGUUUACCAAUUCUAAGGUGCAUAAUUUCAUGGGAGGAAGUCAGGUUGUCUGUCUGUAUUGACAAGACCCGGUUGGAAGUAAUGAAUCCCAAAGGUUCCAUGAUUCCUCCAUCUAAUGCUUACUUAAUCCGCUUGUAGUUUGUUAUAUUUAAUAUUUUAGUUUUUAUAAUUUAAAAAAUUAUAUUGACAUCUCUAUAGUAUGAAAGUGAAAUAAACAUCGUCGAUUUUAUGAAUGAUAAAAAGAUAAUUUUAAUAUUUUAAUUGA
Musa acuminata AAA Group (dessert banana) is the source of this 1643-nucleotide RNA transcript. It is a transcript of the gene named lipase-like, with no coding region annotated. Lineage: Eukaryota; Viridiplantae; Streptophyta; Magnoliopsida; Zingiberales; Musaceae. The transcript has 12 exons. The record is from RefSeq and is a predicted model, not a curated record.